RNAcentral lists this ribosomal RNA (497 nucleotides) under uncultured bacterium. RNAcentral's name for it is "partial 16S ribosomal RNA". It matches the Rfam family "Bacterial small subunit ribosomal RNA", at positions 28 to 507 of the family's 1533-position model. The record is from RNAcentral.
GAUGAACGCUGGCGGCGUGCCUAAUACAUGCCAGUCGAGCGAACAGACGAGGAGCUUGCUCCUCUGACGUUAGCGGCGGACGGGUGAGUAACACGUGGAUAACCUACCUAUAAGACUGGGAUAACUUCGGGAAACCGGAGCUAAUACCGGAUAAUAUAGUGAACCGCAUGGUUCAAUAGUGAAAGACGGUUUUGCUGUCACUUAUAGAUGGAUCCGCGCCGCAUUAGCUAGUUGGUAAGGUAACGGCUUACCAAGGCAACGAUGCGUAGCCGACCUGAGAGGGUGAUCGGCCACACUGGAACUGAGACACGGUCCAGACUCCUACGGGAGGCAGCAGUAGGGAAUCUUCCGCAAUGGGCGAAAGCCUGACGGAGCAACGCCGCGUGAGUGAUGAAGGUCUUCGGAUCGUAAAACUCUGUUAUUAGGGAAGAACAAAUGUGUAAGUAACUAUGCACGUCUUGACGGUACCUAAUCAGAAAGCCACGGCUAACUACGUG